UAACUACUGUUGAUAUUUUGAAGUCCACAUAUCCCUAUACAAAUGUCCACAAAAGAUUUCUGAAAUUCACAGAAGUCAUAAUUUCCUCCAUAUACCCAUCACAAGAUUCUCUGCUCCAUGAACUUUUAUAAAGAAGCGCACAACUGAUAAAACAAUUUGUGCAGCAACUCUAACUACUGUUGAUAUUUUGAAGUCCACAUAUCCCUAUACAAAUGUCCACAAAAGAUUUCUGAAAUUCACCAAAGUCCUAACUUCCUCCAUAUAUCCAUCACAAGAUUAUCUACACCAUGAACUUUUAUAAAGAAUCGCACAACUAUUAAGACAGUUUGUGCAGCAACUCAAUAACUACUGUUGAUAUUUUGAAGUCCACAUAUCCCUAAACAAAUGUCCACAAACAGAAAGGUAACAGACCAUGGCUAUGUUAGUUGUGAAAUGUUUAAUGUGAAGACUUUACUUAUAGCACUUUGUUCAAUGAAUGUAAUAUUUUCAGAUAUCUGAAAUGC
Molecule: long non-coding RNA, 503 nt
Organism: Rhinichthys klamathensis goyatoka
Lineage: Eukaryota; Metazoa; Chordata; Actinopteri; Cypriniformes; Leuciscidae
Exons: 5
Source: RefSeq, a predicted model, not a curated record